This 810-nucleotide ribosomal RNA is filed under the name Triticum aestivum (bread wheat). RNAcentral describes it as "partial small subunit ribosomal RNA". The record is from RNAcentral. Lineage: Eukaryota; Viridiplantae; Streptophyta; Magnoliopsida; Poales; Poaceae.
AUGGAGAGGAUGGUGGCUUCCUAUUUCAAGGAAGUUUUUACAAAGGAUCCCACGGUGAUCCCUGACAGUGUACUAAAUGACAUCAUGCUGAGAGUAACAGAUGUGAUGAACGUGACUCUUUGUGAAAAGUUCUCUGAAAAGGAGGUUUCAGAUGCCCUAUUUCAGAUCGGUCCCCUGAAAGCACCAGGUCCUGAUGGUUUCCCCGGACGGUUCUAUCAACGCAAUUGUUCAUGUUUGAAGACGGAGAUUAUUGCGGAAGUUUUAUCCUUCUUUGAAACUGGUAAGAUACCUCAAGGUGUGACUGACACUGCUAUUGUUUUGAUUCCUAAGGUACCCCACCCAGAGGACUUGAAGGAUUUUUGUCCAAUUAGCCUGUGCAAUGUCAUUUAUAAAAUUGUGUCAAAGUGCAUGGUCAAUCGGCUCAGACCUCUCUUGGAUGAGUCGAUUUCACAAAAUGAGAGUGCUUUUAUUAUAGGUAGGCUCACAUCUGAUAAUGCUAUAAUUGCAUUCGAGUGUGUGCAUUUCAUUGAGUCUCUAAGAAACAACGAUGACCUGUUCUGUGCGUAUAAGUUGGAUCUUUCAAAGGCAUAUGACCAUGUGGAUUGGGAGUUUUUGGAGAAGGCCCUUCUCAAGUGGGGUUUCUGUCCGACCUGGGUCUCGUUAAUUAUGGAGUGUGUUACUUCAGUUAAGUAUUUAGUGAAAUUCAAUGGCAAACUCUUGGAACAAUUUUCUCAGACACGAGGCCUCCGACAAGGUGAUCCAUUAUCCCCCUUCUUAUUCUUAUUUGUUGCUGAUGCACUCUCGGCCUAG